UGGCGGACGGGUGAGUAACGCGUGGAAAACCUGCCGUAUACUAGGGGAUAACACUUAGAAAUAGGUGCUAAUACCGCAUAAGCGCACAGCUUCGCAUGAAGCGGUGUGAAAAACUCUGGUGGUAUACGAUGGUUCCGCGUCUGAUUAGCUAGUUGGUGGGGUAAUGGCCUACCAAGGCAACGAUCAGUAGCCGGCCUGAGAGGGUGAACGGCCACAUUGGGACUGAGACACGGCCCAAACUCCUACGGAAGGCAGCAG
Molecule: ribosomal RNA, 258 nt
Filed under: uncultured bacterium
Lineage: Bacteria
Description: partial 16S ribosomal RNA
Rfam family: Bacterial small subunit ribosomal RNA
Source: RNAcentral